Molecule: transfer RNA, 72 nt
Filed under: Paramuricea clavata
Lineage: Eukaryota; Metazoa; Cnidaria; Anthozoa; Malacalcyonacea; Plexauridae
Description: tRNA-Thr
Source: RNAcentral
GCCUUUUAGCUCAAUGCUUAGAGCGUCUGUCCGGUUAUCAGAAGGUUACAUGGUUCAAUUCCCGUUAGGACU